CCUACGGGGGACAGCAGUGGGGAAUAUUGCACAAUGGGGGAAACCCUGAUGCAGCGACGCCGCGUGAGUGAUGAAGUAUUUCGGUAUGUAAAGCUCUAUCAGCAGGGAAGAUAAUGACGGUACCUGACUAAGAAGCUCCGGCUAAAUACGUGCCAGCAGCCGCGGUAAUACGUAUGGAGCAAGCGUUAUCCGGAUUUACUGGGUGUAAAGGGAGCGCAGACGGCAGGGCAAGUCUGAUGUGAAAGUCCGGGGCUCAACCCCGGGACUGCAUUGGAAACUGUCCGGCUAGAGUGCAGGAGAGGUAAGUGGAAUUCCUAGUGUAGCGGUGAAAUGCGUAGAUAUCACGAAGAACUCCGAUUGCGAAGGCAGCCUACUAAACUGCCACUGACAUUGAUGCUCGAAAGUGUGGGUAUCAAACAGGAUUAGAUACCCGUGUAGUC
Molecule: ribosomal RNA, 440 nt
Filed under: uncultured bacterium
Lineage: Bacteria
Description: partial 16S ribosomal RNA
Rfam family: Bacterial small subunit ribosomal RNA
Source: RNAcentral